RNAcentral lists this ribosomal RNA (404 nucleotides) under Fusobacteriota bacterium. RNAcentral describes it as "Fusobacteria bacterium partial 16S ribosomal RNA". It matches the Rfam family "Bacterial small subunit ribosomal RNA", at positions 355 to 776 of the family's 1533-position model. Lineage: Bacteria; Fusobacteriati; Fusobacteriota. The record is from RNAcentral.
UGGGGAAUAUUGCACAAUGGAGGGAACUCUGAUGCAGCGACGCCGCGUGAGUGAUGAAGGACUUCGUUUCGUAAAACUCUGUUCUAUGGGAAGAAAAGGACUGUACCAUAGGAGAAAGCUCCGGCUAAAUACGUGCCAGCAGCCGCGGUAAUACGUAUGGAGCGAGCGUUGUCCGGAAUUAUUGGGCGUAAAGGGUGCGCAGGCGGCUUUACAAGUUGGAUGUGAAAUAUUGUGGCUCAACCACAAACGUGCAUCCAAAACUGCAAAGCUUGAGUUAAGGAGAGGUAAGUGGAAUUCCUGGUGUAGCGGUGGAAUGCGUGGAUAUCAGGAGGAAUACCGGUGGCGAAGGCGACUUACUGGACUUAAAUUGACGCUCAGGCACGAAAGCGUGGGGAGCAAACAGG